AAACUUUCAACAACGGAUCUCUUGGUUCUGGCAUCGAUGAAGAACGCAGCGAAAUGCGAUAAGUAAUGUGAAUUGCAGAAUUCAGUGAAUCAUCGAAUCUUUGAAC
This 106-nucleotide ribosomal RNA is filed under the name Neoscytalidium dimidiatum. Its description in RNAcentral is "5.8S ribosomal RNA". It matches the Rfam family "5.8S ribosomal RNA", at positions 1 to 105 of the family's 154-position model. From Rfam's summary of the family: 5.8S ribosomal RNA (5.8S rRNA) is a component of the large subunit of the eukaryotic ribosome. Lineage: Eukaryota; Fungi; Ascomycota; Dothideomycetes; Botryosphaeriales; Botryosphaeriaceae. The record is from RNAcentral.